GGAAAUAGAAACAGAAUGGAACGAAACAGAGAGCAGGGGAGAAAAAGAAAGAAAGAAGGGGAGAAAAGGGAAAAUUCAAGGUUUGAAGCUUUAAGCUUUAAUAGUCAAUGUGGUACCGGAAAUCUCGGCUAAGAAAGGACAAGACAAAGUCAACGGGAGUUAGCUCGAAAAUUACGUGUUAAGAGCUCGGAGGUUGGAUUUGGUGGAGACACAUCACACUGUCAACCUCAGGAUUUCGGUAUAUAAAGAAACUUUAUUUUGGAAAUCAAUGGCAUGUAUAAGCUAACAAAGUAAAUGUUAACGUGAAAUGAAUGUAAAGUUAGCCAUUAGUAUGGUUAACAAACCUGGUUAUAGAUAUGUGAUGACGUUAUUUUAUAUAAAUGCAUGAAUCUAUCAUGAAAA
This is a long non-coding RNA of Gossypium arboreum, 402 nucleotides long. RefSeq lists it as uncharacterized. Lineage: Eukaryota; Viridiplantae; Streptophyta; Magnoliopsida; Malvales; Malvaceae. The transcript has 3 exons. The record is from RefSeq and is a predicted model, not a curated record.